GGAGGCAGCAGUGGGGAAUCUUCCGCAAUGGACGAAAGUCUGACGGAGCAACGCCGCGUGAGUGAUGAAGGAUUUCGGUCUGUAAAGCUCUGUUGUUUAUGACGAAGUGCAGUGUGUGAACAAUGCAUUGCAAUGACGGUAGUAAACGAGGAAGCCACGGCUAACUACGUGCCAGCAGCCGCGGUAAUACGUAGGUGGCGAGCGUUGUCCGGAAUUAUUGGGCGUAAAGAGCAUGUAGGCGGCUUAAUAAGUCGAGCGUGAAAAUGCGGGGCUCAACCCCGUAUGGCGCUGGAAACUGUUAGGCUUGAGUGCAGGAGAGGAAAGGGGAAUUCCCAGUGUAGCGGUGAAAUGCGUAGAUAUUGGGAGG
Molecule: ribosomal RNA, 367 nt
Filed under: uncultured bacterium
Lineage: Bacteria
Description: bacterial SSU rRNA
Rfam family: Bacterial small subunit ribosomal RNA
Source: RNAcentral